Molecule: microRNA, 24 nt
Filed under: Gossypium raimondii (Peruvian cotton)
Lineage: Eukaryota; Viridiplantae; Streptophyta; Magnoliopsida; Malvales; Malvaceae
Description: gra-miR8693
Source: miRBase by way of RNAcentral
AGGAUGAAAAUAUUGAUGUAGCAU